AGGAAGAGCCAACUUAUAAGCCAC
RNAcentral lists this non-coding RNA (24 nucleotides) under Arabidopsis thaliana (thale cress). Lineage: Eukaryota; Viridiplantae; Streptophyta; Magnoliopsida; Brassicales; Brassicaceae. The record is from RNAcentral.